UCCGUAGCUUGCUUAAUAAGUUUCCUGUGAAAUUCUGUCUCUUAAGGGCAGAGCGCGCAGGAAGUACUGUUGAGCUAGAGACUGGAAGACGUGAAAAGUAUGUUCGAAGUAGCGGUAAAAUGCGUUAAUCUUGAGCAGACUCACAAUAGCGAAGGCAUUUCACGAGGACAGUUCUGACAGUAAGGGAUGAAGGCUAGGGGCGCGAAAAGGAUUAGAUACCCUUGUAGUCCUAGCAGUAAACACUGCACACUAAACAUCAGUACCUCCUCGAGAGGUAUUGGUGCUGCAGAGAAGUCGAAGAGUGUGCUACCUGGGAAGUAUAGUCGCAAGGCUGAAACUUAAAGGAAUUGGCGGGGGAGCACAAG
Molecule: ribosomal RNA, 365 nt
Filed under: uncultured euryarchaeote
Lineage: Archaea; Methanobacteriati; Methanobacteriota
Description: bacterial SSU rRNA
Rfam family: Archaeal small subunit ribosomal RNA
Source: RNAcentral